UACGUAGGGUGCGAGCGUUAAUCGGAAUUACUGGGCGUAAAGCGUGCGCAGGCGGUUGGGUAAGUCUGAUGUGAAAGCCCCGGGCUCAACCUGGGAAUGGCAUUGGAAACUGGCUGGCUAGAGUGUGGCAGAGGGGGGUGGAAUUCCGCGUGUAGCAGUGAAAUGCGUAGAGAUGCGGAGGAACACCGAUGGCGAAGGCAGCCCCCUGGGCUAGCACUGACGCUCAGGCACGAAAGCGUGGGGAGCGAACAGG
RNAcentral lists this ribosomal RNA (253 nucleotides) under uncultured bacterium. RNAcentral's name for it is "partial 16S ribosomal RNA". It matches the Rfam family "Bacterial small subunit ribosomal RNA", at positions 524 to 776 of the family's 1533-position model. The record is from RNAcentral.